Molecule: microRNA, 21 nt
Filed under: Mus musculus (house mouse)
Lineage: Eukaryota; Metazoa; Chordata; Mammalia; Rodentia; Muridae
Description: microRNA 5131
Source: RNAcentral
CGCGUGUGGCGGAAGCGCCGG